UCUUACCAAGACGGGAGGCAGAAGUCCACGCUCCUCCUGCUCCUCCCUUCCCUCCAGCCCACAUCCUUUUGGGGAAAGUGCAGGCCCUUCUCAGGGGCCAGCGCUGCCGAGCAGGGUGGGAAGCGUGGCUGUCAGCACUGGCCCUCUGAAUUUAGGCGAAUGUGAUGGCAGCCUCUUUCUUUCAAAGGGGUGUACUCUGGCAGUGGCCACUGUUUGCUGGGUCUUUCCAUGUUACACAGAACGCGGCAUGAAGAGCUUGAGUCAGCUUUGCGCCUGCCCAGGGGCAGCAGGCUUCUAAAAGUCUCUCCCUAGACUCUUUCCAGGAGGGGGAUGAGGAUGCAGACUUAGGUCUCCCUGCUGGUGUGCAUUUAGUGAUUUGGAGGGAAAGACAACACCUUAUUUUGAUUCCAGUGGGAGAGUCUGUAGUUUGGGUUUACAGUGCUUUUUCUCAGCACACCAGGAUUUUUAUAAAGCUUCCCUAUAUUGAGCCCCUAGGCAGCAGGAUCCCUUCACUGUUUUCUAAAGUUGCCUGAACUUAAGAAUUACCAGGGGCAAUUAAAAAAAAAACAAAAAAAACCAGACAGACUCCUAUGCCCGUGACAGAUAUGAGUGGGACCUAAGAAUUCCGUAUUGGGUCAGUUGGGGGAAACAGAUGCCGGGGAGCUCGAUUCCUAUUGUCAGGGGUUCAGGAAACACUAAGUACAGUGGUUGCUCAGUGUGAAUCAAAAUCACCUGGAGGGCGUGUGAGACCACAGAUUGCUGGGCCCCACCCUGAACUGUUGACAAGGCAUUUCUAACAGGUUGCCAGGUGAUGCUGAUGCUGCUUGUCUGGGAAGCACCUUUGAGCAUCACUGGUGUAGUAGGAGGUGCACUCGGCUGGGUGUUGGAAGAAUGGAAAACCUCCAUUGGUUUUAUCACCUCCAUCUUGUGACCUUAGACAAGUCAUUUAUCUCUGCACUGAAAAAUAGGGACUGAUAUCAAGAGUUUGUGAAGAUAAAAUGCUUCCCAAAAAAGAGGGCGGGGGGAUACAAAAUAGCCAAGUCUUAUUAUUAACAACAGAUUGGACCAGGAUGGAAUCCUUGUGUUGAAGACAAAGGGCCAAGGCACAGGACAGAGGGAGGGUAAGACAGGGCCUGCAGGCCAGCCUGGCACCACCCAUUUGGCAAAGCUUACAGCCGGGAGUUGGAGGAAGAGGUUUAAUCUACAGGUGCCUCCCUCAGCAAACCUGAGUCUCUAAUAGGAUCCACAUGGUGGCCCAGAGGCCAAGGGCUUCUCUAGCCGGGUGUCACAGAGCAAAGCCUGUAAGCUUCCUGCCUCUGGAGGAGGGGGAUCUUUGGGGCCAGGUUCUGGCAUGUUCUCUGUGGCCCACUCUUCUUCUGGCUCUGCUGUGGUUUGGGAUGCUCCCCACCAGUGCAUUCUCCUGGCUAGGCCCCUAUUCACUGACGUCCAGGCCCCUGGCUCUUAGGAAAUUCUUGCCUCUUCAAGAAAAUCCUUUUCACAGUGAUCCUGGGACCCACCUCUCAUGGGGGAAAACGAAUCUUCUAGCUUCAUCUUUGGUUAUGGUUUAAAAUGCUCUCAAAGUUCCUAAUGAUUUGAAGGGCUGGGGGCCAAAUGAGGAACUCAGUUUUGAACACAGAAGCUAUUAAUGUCAUCAUUAAUAACAGUAAUAAUAAUAGCAAUUACUAUUUACUGAUAUCUUAAUUUAUUCCAAGAGCAGCGAUAAAUGCCUUACAUACAUGACCUCUUUUAGGCUGCCCAAGAGGUACCUCUUAUUAUCUCCUUUCUGCAGAUGAGGAGACAGGAGCUCAGAAAGGUUAAGCCAACACCUGAGAUCACACAGCUAUUAAAAGGCAGAGGUGUGAUUUGAACCCAGGCUGUUCCAUCCAAAGCCCGUUAUUGAUAUUAUUUUUAGUUUCAAGUCAGCCUUUCAGGAAAGCUUUGGAAUAGUCGGAAGCCUUGCUUGCCCCACUAACUGGGCCACUAGCAGCAGAAACAAUGGGAAGGGCGUUCUCUGAGCUGCCCCGGACAUUCAGGCGAGUUAUAGAUGCUGGGAAAAGAAACAUUGCGAUGACUGCUCCUGUGGCAGUGACUUCCAGACCAAAGCCACGCUCGUAAACAUUCUUUGGCCUCGUCACAGAGUCCAGGACGUGUAAUUGGCAGUUGAGCUUUACGAGGGCAUGGGGCAGGAAACCAGCUGUUGGCAGUGUGUGUGUAAACAGCAUGCAUGGGAGGGCACUGGGUUUCUUGUGGACCUUUCAAGGGAAAGACUCCCGUCCUACACUGCAGGCGAGAAAUCACUUUGCUCUUUGGGUGAGAGAUGCAAGCUCUGAGACCUGGCCUGCUGGUGUGUGGGGAGAGCUCUGCCCUCAAGGCCCCCUCCUGCCAGGCCCCCUCCAUUCAGCCUUCACUGCCCUCUGCCAAUUUUGUAAGCAGGAAAUACUAGGAAAGUAAAGGAAGAAGAGGUACCUCAAAAGGCAGAAACAGUUAAGGAAUGCAGGGUUGCAUCUAUCCAAUAGGAUGCUUUUGUGCAAAUUAGAAAAAGCACCUCCUCAAUAUGCUUUGCUGUCAUCUGCCAGAAACUUGUCCUAUGGCAGAUACACAUCUCCCAUCACUGCCAUCUGACUGGUGCCCACUAGGGUUGUGCAGCACAUGCCCUGUAGCCCUGAAGGAGCCUUCGCACCUUCUGCGGGGGUGCAGAGCUCAAAGAACCCAACCUUCCUCCUCCUUCAUUCCCCACUUGCAAAUCUCCUCCCCUUAGCUGUGGUCCUUCUACAGUGAGGUCAGGCUCCCUGUCCUGCCACGCAAUAGCAUGAUGCUGAUGGCCUCCUAGGCACCCCACCCCCACCCUCAAAUGGGAUAAAGGCAAAACAAUCCAUCUAUCGAAGGAUUUUUUUGGGGGGGAGCACUUCCCAGUAUCACAGGCAGCAAAGAAAGGUAGUUUUGAUGUCAAAUUGUUGGAAUCUCCAAAUAUUUUCAAAAGUUCAGGAAGCUAAGGGUACAGGAAGUGUAGGCCCUGAGAAGAUGAUAUUGUUCAUGAGACCAGGGAGGCCAAGGAAGGAAGGAACUGUAUGAUGUGCUGGGAGAGAGCAAUCAUGCCCACCCCAGAGCUAGGCUUUCUCCCUGCAGUGGUUUGUAUUCCCGGCUCCUUACAGCCAUUCUUUCUGUGGGUCUGCUGCUUCCAGGAGUGGCUAUGCGUCUGCAUCCGAGGACUUUGUCCCUUAUGACUUGGAGGUCCAAGUUCCUGGAAGAGUCAUCGGAGGGAACAGUGGCUUUGGAAAAGCAACUACCCCUGAAAUAGCCAAGUGGGGUGAGCAGCCUGUACCGUGCAGCCAGCCUGUGGCCUGCCCACACUGGGGAGAUUGCCCUAUGUCACAGGCAGGUCAGGAAGGGCCCGGCUAGCACAGCCAGGAGUCUUGGACAGUGGUCCCGUGGUGAUCGGCACAGCUGCCAGCUUUCUAAGCUGUGCAUCGAGGCGGACAGAGCAAGUAACUGAAGGAACCUUUCCUCGAUACUUGAUUAGCGCACAAGAGAGCUUGUGGGCUGGCCACACAUCACAAUGUUUUCUGAUUAAGAGCAGUGAGGGGCUCCAGCCAACCCUGGGCAUCAGAGUCACCAGUGGAACUUAAAAAAUGUAGAUACUUGUCCCUAGCCCAUAUCUCCUCAAUGAGAAUGGCAGGUGGGGAGGGUGGAUGGGGGGAAAUUGGGAGUCCACUGCAAUUUGGCUGUGGACCCUCGUUAAGAACCAGCGCCCUCAGAAUAACUGGAGAGGGGAGGGGUUGACCUUCCUUCCUCCUUCCUGGUGUCCGGCCCGCAGGGUUAGAGCAGCUGGGCGUGGCCUCCUAUUUCUCUUCCCUAACCUUGGUUCUGUGAAGAGGCUUGCCGGGUGCCCCAUAAAUUAUUUAAUCAGCCAAAGUCUUCCUCUGGGUAAAUGCCAGAAUUUCCUGCAAGAACUCAGCUGCCCUGGGUCACCACAUGGCACUGUGGUGGCUAGAAGAGCCUCUCCAGAGCCUCUUCUCCAGGAAAAAUUGAUGUUCCAGCAGAAGUUGGAAAAAUAAGUUGGGAAUUUAUCACUUUUCAAGAUGCCCAGGAUGUUUUAUUUUUUUUCUCUAAAAUCGAGCUAGGCAUUUUCCAGGGGAAUAUUAUACCAUUUGGAGCUGUAUUUAAUUAUCUGCCUAGUCAGGGCGAGGAUUAACUGCAUCUUAGCAACUGGGAAGUACUCUAAGUGCUGGGGGGAGGGGGGAGGGGGAGGGGCUGGUUACAUAGGUAGCUGGAAGCUUCCCGUGAAACAGACCCCGUUUGAUGAAGUGGGCUAUUUUAAGGGAAGAAAGCAGGCUCUGCAAUGACUACUUCUUGACUGCCGCAGCCAAGGCAUUCCUCUUCGAUAAACCUUAACUGAUGAUAGUAUGGCCUUUGCUGGAAUAGUCUGAGUGCCAUUUGUGAAUUCAACCAUCCAAUAAAUAUUUGUUGAGUCCCUGCUCCUUGUUCGGCCAGUGGUUCUCAACUUGGGCUCAACAUUAGACUCAGCUGGGGAGCUCUGAAAACAAACCCAGGCCUGGCCCCAUCAUCUGGAGCUUUAAAAGCUUCCCAGGUGAGUCUAAAGUACAGCCAGGUUGAGACCUCUGUGUCAGGUACCACCAGGAGAUGCUAGGGAUGCAGAUGUGACCAAGACUGACGCUUCUCAUCCUUCAUGUGUUCAGAUCCUUAAAAAAAUCAGGACAUCAUCCCAGAGGCACUGUCAGUCAGACCAGGUAUGCAGGAGGGCAGGUUCCAGGAUCACCCUCAAUAUUAUGCCUGCUGCUCUAACUGUGGGGAGCAUCCAUCUAGAUUUCCAGAAUAGUCUCAAUUUCAGGUCUUCUUUCUGUGAGCCAUAUAUCUUAAAUUCUUCAUUUGGAAAAGCUGGCCUCCAUAGCUAUAGCCAUGACUAUAACUCACAGAUGAUUUCGAUGAUUUCCACCAGGUGGCACAGUUCACCUGGUUUGUCGAGAUCAAGACCGAGCAGAAGGUGCCAAAGGUGAGAUCAUCAGGGACAGCAGUGACCAGGUGAACUGCUCUUCUCCCCUCCUGCAGGGGUUUCUCGCCUCCAGGGUCAGCUGGGACAGGGCUGGACUCCUGCCUGUGUUCCCUGGGUUGGCGAUGGCCCAUGUUUGUGCUUCUGCAGUGGAGGCAGCCACAGCCAACAGAGAGCAGGAGCCAGUGCUUCUCAGCAGCAGGGUUUGACCCAGGACAGCGGAGGCACCGAGCAUUUUCAAAGCAAGUGGCUGUUCCUGCAACUCCUCACCAGACCUCGUGGUCUCACGCCAUCCGAUGCCUUGCCUUACGGAGGCCGAGUGCUGGCGCACGCGAGGGUGUCUGAAGCUUCCGCUGAUGUCCGCAAGUGCCGCUGCAACCCGGAGCCGCAGUUCCCGAGACGGAAGGCUGCCUGUCGCCUGCUGUUUAGAACAUCUUUCUGCACAUUGUGGACUUGUCUGAUCCCAAGAAAACUGGAAAUUUGUGGAAAAUUUCAAUCAGGAACAUAAACUCAAUGUUCUGAUCAAUAAUGCAUAGUCAAUAAAAGAGAGCUCACAGAAGAUGGACUUGAAAAAAACUUGGCUCCCAAGACUGUGGGGAGGAGAAAUGCUUGCUGCGUGUGAAGAGUUACGUAUGCUCUUUGGAAUGAUACGGCUGGUGGCCUAGGAGGCAAAAAGCCUACAGAAGCACGUGACGUCUCGGAGCUGCUCCUUCAGGAGAAGUUUUUAAAAAGCACAUACCACCUGGCUGUGCCCUCGGGAAGCGUAUUCGGCAGGGGUGAGUGGCCCUGCUAAUCCUCCUGCAGUCAGUGCAUGAGGUUCUGAGGCAUCUUUGUUCCAGUCCUGGGGAGAGGAAAACCGAUGAGAUGGAGGAAGGAACAGCGGGGCAAGCAAUGGCAACACAGAGCCAGUCACAGCCUGUGGACUAAAAGCCUCAGAGAGGAGGGACACUGCAGCUCAGGUGGGCACAUUCUCACGACUGCCCUGAGCCCUGCAUUGGAGAAAGGACACGACCCCAAAGUGGAACAUUCUCCUCAGGAGGAAUUGAGCACCGACGAUCCACAGUGAGAAGGGACAGCAUUUAAUGGAACUGUGGUCUCUGCACAAAACCAAAUCAGAAACCAGUUCCCACACACUUGCCUCUUGUUAGAAUAUCCUCCUCACUGGCUGAAGAGAAACUAAGAGAACUCCUGGAAGAGCUGGCUCAGAGAUUUAAAUAGGCCAGGCCAGACCAGACGCACGGCCAGAAUCGCCUUAGAGAAGACAAGACGGUGUGGACUAGGGGCCAGUGAGCAGAGUCGAAAGAUGCCACUGUAGCAAUAAGGAACCUCCAUGGGAUGGGAACUUUUACCUUAAAAUAAAUAUGACUGGGGCUGGGAACAAGCUAACCUUCAUCUUCUGCAGCACAAUCUUUUCCUGUGUAGAUCUUAUUUGAGAAUGUGGUUUUCUUAAAAAUUCUGCGUUUAGGGUCACCCCGCAUUGUCACUGUGAGGGAAGCAGCGGUGAGCGCUGUGCUGCUCUGAAGCCAGGAGAGGGCUGUCCGCUGCCUCUGCCGUACGCGUCCCCGGGAGCACAGCACAACCAAGGGACAGUGCACAGUGACAUAAACCAAUUACAGGAGGCCUAGUCUACAUUUGCUUAAGAUUAAGAGUGGCUUCAAUAAUGCACCUGGCAUUCUAGCGCUACGUUUUAAAAAAACUUCUAAAUUACACCAUUUUACCUCCUAGUGACUCCAGGGAAAGUUGUAAUGAAAUCAAUGAACAGAUUUAGAAUAUAUCUUCAUGCAUUCUUGGUGUUCAAGGUGAAAUAGACAUAACUCGUCCCCCAUAGUGAAGGAAAACCCGGGUGGGCACAGCUCGGCCAGUCACACGUUUGGUUCCUCAGAUCCAGGCUCUCAGCCAAGGAGCCCCAAGGAAGGGGUUUUUCUGGGUGUGCCUGCCUGGAAGGUCAGCGAGCACUGGCUCCAUCUGAUGGCGUCUCUCCUUCCCUGAAGGAGGAAAGCAGGGGCCUCUGGAGUGCUAGGUGUGGGUGAGGCUGGCACACGUGGGCUAUGAGGGAGGGGCCCCACCAGAGAUAGGGGCCUCGACGUGAAGGGUGACCCACUACGCCACUCACUGGCUGUUCCACAUUGUGCAGGCUAUUGAUUUCUCCCUGCCUGUUUUCUUAUCCACAAAAUGGGCCUCAUGGGUGUUUAGAGAGGCUUUUCCUGGCUGUAUUUGCCCUGAAGUCCUCUUUCUCCUCGCUUGGAAAGUUUACUAAUCACAGUUAAAGCAGACUUCUGUGAAAGAUCAAGAAAAUAAAAAGGACCACAGGGCCAGAGCCCACUUGCUGCACUUUGAGUGUGUGAUGAA
RNAcentral lists this long non-coding RNA (7357 nucleotides) under Equus caballus (horse). RNAcentral's name for it is "lncRNA (ENSECAG00000053773.1)". The record is from RNAcentral. Lineage: Eukaryota; Metazoa; Chordata; Mammalia; Perissodactyla; Equidae.